Molecule: long non-coding RNA, 406 nt
Filed under: Panax ginseng (ginseng)
Lineage: Eukaryota; Viridiplantae; Streptophyta; Magnoliopsida; Apiales; Araliaceae
Description: long non-coding RNA (PGIN_LNC007124)
Source: RNAcentral
ACAACUAUAACAUUAUAUCAAAUCUACUCCAUAAUAUUCAAAAAUAUAUUUCGAGAAAAUUAUUCUUUAUUCAUAAAAAUUGGGGUCUUACAACCUCCCCUUCUUAUGAAAUUUCGUCCUCGAAAUUAGGGUAAGUACCUGGUAUAUCGAAGAGGUGAGGAUACCUUGACUUCAUUUCAGAUUCUAACUUCCAGGUCAUUUCCUCAACAUCGUGGUUUCUCCACAAAACUUUGACUUGAGGUAUAACUUUAGAGCGUAGAAUAUGAUCCUUCUUAUCCAAGAUUUUAACAGGUAACUCUUCAUACAUUAAAUAUUCCUCUAUCUCGUCUGGCUCUAAUUCAAUAAUGUGGUUCGGGUCUUUCACAUAUUUACGUAACAUAGAUAUGUGAAAAACGUUAUGAACACG